CCCACUCCGAAGCCCGCGGCGGCCCCCACCUGUUCACCCUGCUGUGCAGCGCUGUCACAGUCUUCCUGUUGGCUCUGCUGCUGCUGGGAGUCCUUCGCAUCAGGAAACACGCAGUUUCCUCGAAGUCAGCAGCUGCAGCGUCAAGCUCAGACGAGGACGCUCAGAACGGUGAGCAGUGCAUCCUUCACCACCGGAUUACAGAUUCAUACACGUCACUAUUUUAACUUAUGACCAAAGGAUUAGGACUGAAUGUUCUCGUUAACGUGCUUCAUGUGUCGGUCUGUGCAGAGGACGGUGACCUGGACACAGUGACGUACGCCAUCAUCACUAAACCCAGACAGAACGAAGGAUGCGGAUCAUCCUCGGUGAGUCGCAGCGCAGAGAUAGACUGCAGGUCCACAGAGCAGGAGGUUGUGUACGCCUUGGUGCAGAAGGCUACACAGAGACACCUGGCUGCACCAGACUCUGUGCUAAUAUGAGAAGAAGAAACAGAUAGAUACUGUUUAUGCAGCUUUCAGUUGAACUUAGUUGUGUAUUUUUAAAGCCACCCAUUUCAUCUUAUAAUAGAAUUUCACUUUCACUGACAAUGUCAUGAAGCACAAACAUGUUUUCAUUUUUUCCUGCAGCUACAUCAAACCUUUUAUAUUUCAAGAUGUUGCAUUUUUAUUUGCUGUUUGCUCUGUAACAAAACUAAUGUACCAUAUGUUACAUUCAUAAAUGAAGCAGGCAGGUGAGGUGGAAUCAUUUGUGAGCUGAAUUAAAGUUAUUUGCUUUUUUUUUCAUUCCUGUGAAAAGUUUGCAUUGCUAAAAUGUGUUUCUAUACAGUGGACCAUAAAACACCAUAACAUGCACCUCCUGCACAUCCUGUACGU
This 872-nucleotide long non-coding RNA is filed under the name Cottoperca gobio. RNAcentral's name for it is "lncRNA (ENSCGOG00000014498.1)". Lineage: Eukaryota; Metazoa; Chordata; Actinopteri; Perciformes; Bovichtidae. The record is from RNAcentral.